RNAcentral lists this ribosomal RNA (253 nucleotides) under uncultured bacterium. RNAcentral's name for it is "partial 16S ribosomal RNA". It matches the Rfam family "Bacterial small subunit ribosomal RNA", at positions 524 to 776 of the family's 1533-position model. The record is from RNAcentral.
GACAGAGGGUGCAAACGUUGUUCGGAAUUACUGGGCGUAAAGCGCGUGUAGGUGGCAAGGCAAGUCGGAUGUGAAAGCCCACGGCUCAACCGUGGAAGUGCACCCGAAACUGCCUCGCUAGAGUCUCGGAGAGGAAGGUGGAAUGCUUGGUGUAGAGGUGAAAUUCGUAGAUAUUCGCAAGAACACCAGUGGCGAAGGCGGCUGACUGGUCCGGUUCUGACGCUGAGGCGCGAAAGCCAGGGGAGCAAACGGG